Molecule: ribosomal RNA, 468 nt
Filed under: uncultured bacterium
Lineage: Bacteria
Description: partial 16S ribosomal RNA
Rfam family: Bacterial small subunit ribosomal RNA
Source: RNAcentral
GACGAACGCUGGCGGCGUGCUUAACACAUGCAAGUCGAACGGAAAGGCCCUGCUUUUGUGGGGUGCUCGAGUGGCGAACGGGUGAGUAACACGUGAGUCACCUGCCCUUGACUUUGGGAUAACUUCAGGCAACUGGGGCUAAUACCGGCUAGGAGCUCCUGCUGCAUGGUGGGGGUUGGAAAGUUUCGGCGGUUGGGGAUGGACUCGCGGCUUAUCAGCUUGUUGGUGGGGUAGUGGCUUACCAAGGCUUUGACGGGUAGCCGGCCUGAGAGGGUGACCGGCCACAUUGGGACUGAGAUACGGCCCAGACUCCUACGGGAGGCAGCAGUGGGGAAUAUUGCACAAUGGGCGGAAGCCUGAUGCAGCAACGCCGCGUGCGGGAUGACGGCCUUCGGGUUGUAAACCGCUUUCGCCUGUGACGAAGCGUGAGUGACGGUAAUGGGUAAAGAAGCACCGGCUAACUACGUG